GCUCCAGUAGCUCAGGGGAUAGAGCAACCGCCUCCUAAGCGGUAGGUCGUACGUUCGAAUCGUAUCUGGAGCA
This 73-nucleotide transfer RNA is filed under the name Candidatus Haliotispira prima. RNAcentral's name for it is "Spirochaetaceae bacterium SP-2023 tRNA-Arg". It matches the Rfam family "tRNA". Rfam says of the family: Transfer RNA (tRNA) molecules are approximately 80 nucleotides in length. Their secondary structure includes four short double-helical elements and three loops (D, anti-codon, and T loops). Lineage: Bacteria; Pseudomonadati; Spirochaetota; Spirochaetia; Spirochaetales; Spirochaetaceae. The record is from RNAcentral.